UGCUGUUGGCCCCCUAUCCUCCUCUAAAACCGAACCUGGCCUAGGAUUCCCUCAACCAGUUAUUAGUCUUAAAUCCCUACCCCGGGCCUCGGGUCCUGACGUCGGGGCAGACCCCCAAACCAUCCGUUCACGUUUUAUUCAUGCGUGCUGCAACCCGGGCCCUGGGGAUGGAGAAAGAAAAAAGAUCCUUAGCAUCCAAGAACUGGCUUUCCGGGAGCUGGGCAGACGCGCAGACUUACCGCUGCAUUUCAGAGUGAUACGUGCUAUGGUAGAGGGAUGCAGAGUGCCUGGGCUCGGGGAGGAGUGGCAUCCAACCCAGCUUCUGGGAAGGAGGGGACUGGAGGGAAAGAAAACGCUUGGAUUGAGUCCUGAAAGUCACAGUUUAGCUCAGUGCAGUUGCGUGGGGACUCCUUCCCUGCAGCGGGAACCGCACGUGCCAAGGUAGGAGAGCAAGAAAAAGCAAAUCGCUUAGGAAGCCAAGUUCACAGUUCUGGGGCUUGCAGAGGAGAGAGGCUGGAGGGCUAGGAAAAGGUACCCUUGAAAGGCAUUGUAUACACUGCCGAAGAGUUUGAACUCUCUGGAGAGGGCGGUGGAGAGCCAUCAAGGGCUUUUAAGGCAGGGGAGUGACCCAGACAAAUUUAUCUCUUAGAAAGGGAGUUUAGCUUCAAUGCGGAGGAUGGAUUGGAGCGACUAGAGCUGCGCCGUCCGGUAGAAAUUUCAGGGAUGAUGGAAAUGUUCUUAAUCAGCACUAUUCAGUAUGGCAGCCGGUAGCCACAUGUGGCUAUUGAGCACUUGAAAUGUGGCAAGAUUGAGAAACUGAAUUUAAAAAUUUAUGUGUCUUAAUUAAUUACAUCUUAAUUAAUCUACAUCUAAAUUUCAGUAGCCUCAUGUGACUAGUGGCUGCUCUAUUGUGUAGUGCAGGUUCAGAGAUUGGAAGGCCAGUUAGGAAGCUGUUGAGGAAUCCAGAUAAAAAGAGAUGAGGGUCAGAACACUCUGCCAGAUUGACUUGUAAUAAAUCCAGUCAUGUCAUCUUUAAACCCCUCACUGGAUCUCCAACACCCUCACCAUAAAAUCCCCAAAUCCAAAUUCCUUUAUUUUGUUAUUUUUUAAAUUUUUAAAUUUAUUUGGUUGCGCUGCGUCUUAGUUGCAGCAGGCGGGCCCCUUAGUUGUGGCAUGUGAACUCUUAGUUGCAGCAUGCAUGUGGGAUCUAGUUCCCUGACCAGGGAUCGAACCCGGGCUCCCUGCAUUGGGAGCUCGGAGUCUUAUCCAGUGGACCACCAGGGAAGUCCCAAAGCCAAAUUCCUUUAGAUACUUAAAGGUAAGAUUCUUAAUGGUCUGCCUGACUUCCUAUCCCCAUCCUCCCCCCUCCCCACCACACACACAUACUUUAUAUACCAGCCAUACAGAACUUUAAAAAAUUUAUUGAAGGCACUGCAGUCUUUCAUCCAGGCCUUCUCUCAUGCUGGUACCAAGGCCUAAGACACCCCACCCCCAUCCCAAUCAGGCUAACUUCUAUUCAUCAGUCAGGCCUCAACCUAAAUUUACUUUCCUCUGGAAAAUCUUCCUGACUACCCCAAGCCCCGGUUAUGUGUUUCUGUCAUGUGCUUUGUAGUACUUUGUACUUCCCUGUCCUAGCAUGUACUGUCCUGUACUGGGCUUGUUUAUUUGAUAAUUUAUAUUCCCCACCUGACUGUAAGUUCUGGUUGUAUUCCCAGAACCGCCUGGUACUUGGAAGGGAGGCAGUAUAGUACAGCGAUCAAGAGGAUCUCUUUUGAUGCUGGGCAGUUCUGGGUUUGAAUUCUGACCCAGGUGCUUAUUAGCUGUGUAAACUUUGGACAGGUUUCUUAACCUCUGAACUCCAGUAAACUGGGGAUGAUAAUGAUACCUAUCUCAUAGGGUUGAUGUAAAGAUUAAAGGAUUCCAUUUAUGCAAAGAGCUUAGUACAGGCAGAUCUCAGAGAUAUGCAGGUUCGGUUCUAAACCACUGCAAUAAAGCGAAUAUCGCAAUAAAGUGAGUCACACAAAUUUUGUUAUUUCCCAGUGCAUAUAAAAAUUAUGUUUAGGGACUUCCCUGGUUACCCGGUGGUUAAGACUCCACGCUUCUACUGCAGGGGGCACGGGUUCAAUCCCUGGUCGGGGAACUAAGAUUCCACAUGCUGCUCGGCGCGGCCAAAAAGAAAUCUUUUUUAUUUUUACGUUAUAGUCAGUUAAGUGUGCAAUAGCAUUAUGUCUUUUAAAAAUGUACAUGCCUUAAUUUAAAAAUACUUUAUUGCUAAGAAAUGCUAGCCAUCGUGUGAGUCUUCAGCGCGUUGUAACCUUUUUAGCUGGUGGAAGGUCUUGCCUCGAUGUGGAUGGCUGCUGACUGAUCAGGGUGAUGGUUACUGAAGGCUGGGGUGGCCGUGGCAGUUGCUUAAAGUAAGACAGCAGUGACGUUUGCCACAUUGAUUGACUCUUCCUUUCAUGAAGGAUUUCUCUGUAGCCUGCAAUGCUGUUUGAUAGCGUUUUACCCAGAGUAGAACUUCUUUCAAAAUUGGAGUUAAUCCUCUCAAGCCUGUCACUGCUUUAUCAAUCUUCACAACAUCUUCACCACGAGUAGAUUUUAUCUCAAGAAACCACUUUCUUGGCUCAUCCAGAAGAAGCAACUCCUCAUCCUUACUUCCUCCACUGAAGUCUUGAAUCCCUCAAAGUCAUCCAUGAGGGUCGGAAUCAACUUCUUCCAAACUCCUGUUAAUGUUGACAUUUUGGCCUCUUCCCAUGAAUCACAAAUGUUCUUCAUGGCAUCUAGAAUGGUGAAUCCUUUCCAGAAGGUUUUCAAUUGACUCUGCCCAGCUCCAUCAGAGGAAUCAUUAUCUAUGGCAGCUAUAGCCUUAUGAAGUAUAUUUCUUUUUUUUUUUUUAAUUAAUUUAUUUAUUUAUGGCUGUGUUGGGUCUUUGUUUCUGUGCGAGGGCUUUCUCUAGUUGUGGCAAGUGGGGGCCACUCUUCAUCGCGGUGCGCGGGCCUCUCACUAUCGCGGCCUCUCUUGUUGCGGAGCACAGGCUCCAGACGCGCAGGCUCAGUAACUGUGGCUCACGGGCCCAGUUGCUCCACGGCAUGUGGGAUCUUCCCAGACCAGGGCUCGAACCUGUGUCCCCUGCACUGGCAGGCAGAUUCUCAACCACUGCGCCACCAGGGAAGCCCUGAAGUAUAUUUCUUAAAUAAUAAGACUUGAAAGUCAAAAUUACUCCUUAAUCCACAGGCUGCAGAAUGGAUAUAGUGUUAGCAGGCGUGAAAACAACAUUGAUCUUGUUGUACAUCUCCAUUAGAGCUCUUGGGUGAGCAGGUGCAUUGUCAAUGAGCAGUAAUAUUUUGAAAAGUAUCUUUUUUUUCUGAGAAUUAGGUGUCAACAGUGGGCUUCAAAUAUUCGGUAAACUAUGUUGUAAACAAAUAUGCUGUCAUCCAGGCUUUGUUGUUCCAUUUAUAGAGCACAGGCAGAAUAGAUCUAGCUUAAUUCUAGCCUAAUUCUUAAGGGCCCUAGGAUGUUCAGAAGGGUAAAUGAGCGUUGGCUUCAACUUAAAGUUACCAGCUAGCUGCUUUAGCCCCUAACAAGAGAGUCAUUCUAUCCUUUGAAGCUUUGAAGCCAGGCAUUGACUUCUCCUCUCUAGCUAUGAAAGUCCUGGAUGGCUUCUUCUUCUAAUAGAAGGCAGUUUUGUCUACAUUGGAAGUCUGUUGUUUAGUGUUGCCACCUUCAUUAAUUAUCUUAGCUAGAUCCUCUGAUUUUUUUUUUUGGCUGUGCUGCGCAGCUUGCGGGAUCUUAGUUCCCCAGUCAGGGAUCGAACCCGGGCCCACAGCAGUGAAAGCGCACAGUCCUAACCACUGGCCCACCGGGGAAUUCCCUUAGUUUGAGCUUCUGAAUAACUUACUGUAGCUUCUACAACAGCACUUUUAAAAAAUAUAUUUAUUUAUUUAUUUGGCUGUGCCGGGUCUUUAGUUGUGGCAUGCGAACUCUUAGUUGCAGCAUGUGGGAUCUAGUUCCCUGACCAGGGAUGGAACCCAGGCUCCCUGCAUUGGGAGUGUGGAGUCUUAGCCACAGGACACCAGGGAGGUCCCUCUACAUCAGCACUUGCUGCUUCAGCUUGCACUUUUAUGUUAUGGAGAUGGCUUCUUUCCUUUUUUUAAAAAAUAAAUUUACUUAUUUAUUUAUUUAUUUUUGGCUGCGUUGGGUCUUCGUUGCUGCGCGCGGGCUUUCUCCGGUUGCAGCGAGUGGGGGCUACUCUUCGUUGCGGUGCGCAGGCUUCUCAUUGAGGUGGCUUCACUUGUUGUGGAGCACAGACUGUAGGCUUGCGGGCUUCAGUAGUUGUGGCAUGCAGGCUCAGUAGUUGUGGCUUGCGGGCUCUAGAGCGCAAGCUCAGUAGUUGCGGUGCACGGGCUUAGUUGCUCCGUGGCAUGUGGGAUCUUCCCGGACCAGGGAUCGAACCCAUGUCCCCUGCAUUGGCAGGUGGAUUCUUAACCACUGCGCCACCAGGGAAGUCCCUGGCUUCUUUCCUUAAACGUCAUGAACCAACCUCUGCUCGUUUCACACUUUGUUUCUGCUGCUUCCUCACCUCUCUCAGCCCUUGUAGAAUUGAAGAGAGUUAGGGCCUUGCUCUUUAUUAGGCUUUGGAUUAAGGGAAUGUUAUGGCUGGUUUGAUCUUCUAUCCAGACCACUAAAUCUUUCUCCAUAUGAGCAGUAAGGCUGUUUUGCUUUCUUGUCAUUCAGGUGUUGACUGAACUAGCACUUUUAAUUUUCUUCAGGAACUUUUCCUUUGCAUUCACAACUUAGCUAACUGUUUGGUGCAAGAGGCCUAGCUUUUGGCCUGUCUCAGCUUCUGACAUGCCUUCCUCACUAAGCAUAAUCAUUUCUAGCUUUUGAUUUAAAGUGAGAGACAUGUAGCUCUUCCUUUCACUUGAACACUUAGAGGCCACUGUAAGGUUAUUAAUUGGCCUAAUUUCAAUAUUGUUGUGUCUCAGGGAAUCGGGAAGCCCGAGGACAGGGAGAGAGACUUGGGACAGCUGACUGCUAGAGCAGUCGGAACACACACACAUUUAUCAAUCAAGUUUGCCGUCUUGUAUGGGCGCGAUUUGUGAUGCCCGAAAACAAUUACAAUAGUAACAUCAAAGAUCACUGGUCACAGAUCACCAUAACAAAGAUAAUAAUAAUGAAAACGUGUGAAAUAUUGCAAGAAUUACUAAAAUGUGACAUAGACACAGUCUCAGGCUAUGGAGAGCUCAAGCAAACACACUGGAUUUGGCCCUAGAUGGCCACUGGUGUCCUGAGUGCGAGUGGUCCCCAUUAAAUGGAAGUUGGU
Molecule: long non-coding RNA, 5323 nt
Organism: Balaenoptera acutorostrata (minke whale)
Lineage: Eukaryota; Metazoa; Chordata; Mammalia; Artiodactyla; Balaenopteridae
Exons: 3
Source: RefSeq, a predicted model, not a curated record